This 1376-nucleotide ribosomal RNA is filed under the name Chryseobacterium sp. Its description in RNAcentral is "bacterial SSU rRNA". It matches the Rfam family "Bacterial small subunit ribosomal RNA". The record is from RNAcentral. Lineage: Bacteria; Pseudomonadati; Bacteroidota; Flavobacteriia; Flavobacteriales; Weeksellaceae.
CCGAGCGGUAGAGAUCUUUCGGGAUCUUGAGAGCGGCGUACGGGUGCGGAACACGUGUGCAACCUGCCUUUAUCUGGGGGAUAGCCUUUCGAAAGGAAGAUUAAUACCCCAUAAUAUACUGAAUGGCAUCAUUCGGUAUUGAAAACUCCGGUGGAUAGAGAUGGGCACGCGCAAGAUUAGAUAGUUGGUGAGGUAACGGCUCACCAAGUCUACGAUCUUUAGGGGGCCUGAGAGGGUGAUCCCCCACACUGGUACUGAGACACGGACCAGACUCCUACGGGAGGCAGCAGUGAGGAAUAUUGGACAAUGGGUGAGAGCCUGAUCCAGCCAUCCCGCGUGAAGGACGACGGCCCUAUGGGUUGUAAACUUCUUUUGUAUAGGGAUAAACCUACCCUCGUGAGGGUAGCUGAAGGUACUAUACGAAUAAGCACCGGCUAACUCCGUGCCAGCAGCCGCGGUAAUACGGAGGGUGCAAGCGUUAUCCGGAUUUAUUGGGUUUAAAGGGUCCGUAGGCGGAUCUGUAAGUCAGUGGUGAAAUCUCACAGCUUAACUGUGAAACUGCCAUUGAUACUGCAGGUCUUGAGUGUUGUUGAAGUAGCUGGAAUAAGUAGUGUAGCGGUGAAAUGCAUAGAUAUUACUUAGAACACCAAUUGCGAAGGCAGGUUACUAAGCAACAACUGACGCUGAUGGACGAAAGCGUGGGGAGCGAACAGGAUUAGAUACCCUGGUAGUCCACGCCGUAAACGAUGCUAACUCGUUUUUGGAGCGUAAGCUUCAGAGACUAAGCGAAAGUGAUAAGUUAGCCACCUGGGGAGUACGAACGCAAGUUUGAAACUCAAAGGAAUUGACGGGGGCCCGCACAAGCGGUGGAUUAUGUGGUUUAAUUCGAUGAUACGCGAGGAACCUUACCAAGGCUUAAAUGGGAAAUGACAGGUUUAGAAAUAGACUUUUCUUCGGACAUUUUUCAAGGUGCUGCAUGGUUGUCGUCAGCUCGUGCCGUGAGGUGUUAGGUUAAGUCCUGCAACGAGCGCAACCCCUGUCACUAGUUGCCAUCAUUAAGUUGGGGACUCUAGUGAGACUGCCUACGCAAGUAGAGAGGAAGGUGGGGAUGACGUCAAAUCAUCACGGCCCUUACGCCUUGGGCCACACACGUAAUACAAUGGCCGGUACAGAGGGCAGCUACACUGCGAAGUGAUGCAAAUCUCGAAAGCCGGUCUCAGUUCGGAUUGGAGUCUGCAACUCGACUCUAUGAAGCUGGAAUCGCUAGUAAUCGCGCAUCAGCCAUGGCGCGGUGAAUACGUUCCCGGGCCUUGUACACACCGCCCGUCAAGCCAUGGAAGUCUGGGGUACCUGAAGUCGGUGACCGUAACAGGAGC